CACUCCUACGGGAGGCAGCAGUGGGGAAUAUUGGACAAUGGGCGCAAGCCUGAUCCAGCCAUGCCGCGUGAGUGAUGAAGGCCCUAGGGUUGUAAAGCUCUUUCACCGGUGAAGAUAAUGACGGUAACCGGAGAAGAAGCCCCGGCUAACUUCGUGCCAGCAGCCGCGGUAAUACGAGGGGGCUAGCGUUGUUCGGAUUUACUGGGCGUAAAGCGCACGUAGGCGGACUAUUAAGUCAGGGGUGAAAUCCCGGGGCUCAACCCCGGAACUGCCUUUGAUACUGGUAGUCUUGAGUUCGAGAGAGGUGAGUGGAAUUCCGAGUGUAGAGGUGAAAUUCGUAGAUAUUCGGAGGAACACCAGUGGCGAAGGCGGCUCACUGGCUCGAUACUGACGCUGAGGUGCGAAAGCGUGGGGAGCAAACAGGAUUAGAUACCCGAGUAGUCCC
This 445-nucleotide ribosomal RNA is filed under the name uncultured organism. RNAcentral's name for it is "partial 16S ribosomal RNA". It matches the Rfam family "Bacterial small subunit ribosomal RNA", at positions 334 to 797 of the family's 1533-position model. The record is from RNAcentral.